This is a long non-coding RNA of Lynx canadensis (Canada lynx), 2760 nucleotides long. RefSeq lists it as uncharacterized. The transcript has 3 exons. The record is from RefSeq and is a predicted model, not a curated record. NCBI's taxonomy places the organism in Eukaryota, Metazoa, Chordata, Mammalia, Carnivora, Felidae.
UGCUGUCCUGAGUCUGAACCGAAGGACAGGCAGGCUGGAAACCCCGUACAGAGGGGCGGGGGGUGAGGGAACGUGAGACAAGCUGAGUGUCCGGGCCUGCGUUUGCUUCUCAUUCCGGGCCGGGAAGGCAAGGUCUUUAAGACUGACUCUGCUCCCUUCUGCUGAUCUCCCUCGGAGCUCUGCCCCUCGAGACAGAAUCCCGGGGGAAUCUAGCUGGGUGAGCUGGGGCGGGGAGCCACAGGCGUGGCUGUGUGCAGAGCUCAGGCUCCCGCGGUUAUGCAAGCGGGUGCUGAAACUCUCCGGCAGCCCUUUCUCCUAACCCCCGUGAAGACAUCUCUCCUGAGCAUUUCACGUGAAGCUUCGGAGAUAAGAAAGGCAGGACCCUGCACUUCUGCUCAGCUGCUGCCUCCUCCGGGAAGCCCUCCUUGUUGCAGCAUGAAUCUGGGCUCCCCCCAGGGGUCUGCUCACCCAUAGUAUUAGCCCUACUUUUCUGCCUUAGCCCACUCAGCCUGGGUUGGUUAUAUGGGCUUCUGUCUGCUUCCUUCUCUAGACGGGAAGUUGUCUGGGGCCAGGGGGACCCAGUCUCGUUCGCAUCUGUACCCUGCCUGCCUAUGUCCCUGCACAAAUGUGCUCCAUGCUUUGGAGCCCGGAACCAGCCGUUAACGGAGGCACAUUACACAUCUUCGGAUUUAACCCAACCAGUAACCCUGACAGGAAGGAGGACACAUUCAAUUCAAUAAACCCAUAUACAGCAUCUACUUCUUCCUCCCGGCAUUGUCUCAGGGGUGGUCUGUGUGACCAAUGGAAGUGAUGGUGUGUGACUUCUAAGACUGUGCCACAGAAGAUGUUGCCACUUCCCUUGCUGUUCUGUGGACUGCUUGCUGUGGGGGAAGCUAGCUGCCUUGUGGUGACGACACCCAGCAGCCUAGGGAUAGACCCGCGUGGGGAAGGAACUGAAGCCUCCCGCCACGAGCCAGCGCCAACCUGCUCCUACUGUCUGUGUGAACCAGCCUUCUUGGAAGCUGAUCCGCUAGAACUGGGUCAGAGCUCCAGGUGACCGCAGUCCCAGCUGAUAUCCUGACUGGCACUUAGGCGAGACCUUGAACCAGAACCGCUCAGCUAAGACGCUCCUGAUUUUCUGACCCACAGUGACUGAGAGACAGUAGGUGUUCUCUUGAUGCUUUAAGGCUUUGGUUUUGGGAGUCGUUUCAUAGACAGCAACAGACACACGUACAGAAACGGAGGCUUGGAGAAGAGUUUGGGAAGAGCCUUCGUUUUCAAGGCGCCAUACUUGUAUGCAAUGGGGGCGAUGUUUUUCUAAAGGCGUAAAAGAUGAUGAUGACUGUGAGGAUGUGUGUAACCUAAGUUGGCGAAAGGAGUGCCGGAGCAGGAAGAAAACUUAAGAGGCCACCGCAGUCGUCCAGACGAGAGGUAAUGAGAGAGCGGAAGCGGAGGCACCGCUGGGGGACCGGAGAAUGGCACGUCAACGCAGGGGGGUGAAGGCGAAGAAGUCACUAAGGUGACUCCUGGGUUUUGAGCGCAGGAACACGGGGGAGCCACGAUCUCAUUUACCCAAAGAGGAAACACAGAAGGGAGCCCACGUGGGUAGGAGUCAAGAAGUGGGGGUAUCUAUCUCCUGGCGAGGAGAGCUCCCUGUGUCCAGAGCUCCGCGGAGGGCUGGCCACCAAGGCUGCUUCACAGAUCGGGCUGGUCGAGAAACCUCUCCCCGAAGGACGAGCCUGUUCCAUUUCACAGCACAUCUUCCCCACUGCCAAGUGUUCCCUGGUGACAGCCUCUGCCAUCGAUAUUUUUAGCAUGUGGCCUUUCUGAGCCUGAAAAACAACAUCCACUUCCUGGAACUUCUCCUCCAGCUGACAGCCAGUGACCCACGCGGGCGGGAGCUUCAGCUGGGCCUGACAGGCGACAGUCUGCCAAUCUGCUAGGGGAGAGGAAGGCAGGCCGCAAGUUGGGCACGAAGGCCUCCACCCCGCUCCCUUCUGUCCUGCUCUUGAGGCCUAACGACGUCGGUGCACGUCAGAAGCCGAAAAGUAAGGAAGCCUGUGAAUAAGGCCCAAGAGGCAGGAAGCUUCUCCUGCAAUUUCCUUCUAUGACAGCUACAUCAAGUCUGAAGGUAAUACCUGGCCAGGUGACGUUAGAAAACCACCAGGACAUAAAUACUGCUUUUGUAGUAAUCCUAGGACAGGCCUGCGUGAAAACCCCCUGGGACUCGUCACACGUGCUGUUGCAUCCCGUGGGGUCAGAUCUGAGGCAGAGCCAGAAAAGCAUCGAGGGAAACGUGAGAGAGGGUGAGGGGUUUCUCCGAUGGGGUCUGCAGCCCCGGGCCAAGGCUGGGGGUGGGAGGUGGGGGGCGAGAACCCACCGGACCGUUCCCCAGAGUUGUAAGAGUUCUCUGCCAGAAUUUUAGAAAUUGUGCUUUUUAGAGUUUAUGAUCGUCUAAACGGGUUGGAAUAAGCGUAUUCGGUGCUGAUUGACCCCUUAUGUAGGAGUACUACCUCGCCCCUCAGGACCCAUAUCCACAAAUGUGUUUUGAUGCUAAGUGGCAUUUUAUUUUAUCAUUUUUUUUUAAAGUUUAUUUAUUUAUUUAUUUAGAGACAGAGAGAGAGCACAAGCAGGGGAGGGGCAGAGAGAACCACAGAGAGAACUGGGUGGUUCACACACCCAGUUUUCCAGCAGUGGGUUUUUUGUUUUUUUUUUUUUUUUUAUGGUUAUUUACUUUUGAGAGAGAAAGAGAGAGAGAGA